This is a long non-coding RNA of Acromyrmex echinatior (Panamanian leafcutter ant), 292 nucleotides long. RefSeq lists it as uncharacterized. Lineage: Eukaryota; Metazoa; Arthropoda; Insecta; Hymenoptera; Formicidae. The record is from RefSeq and is a predicted model, not a curated record.
CACAUACACAUACGCACGCAUAUUUAUGUAACUAAAGAGCUAGACGAUAGCCACGGUAGUAACGUGUACUUCCGGCUUCCAGCGUAUUGCGGAAUCAAAGCUUACGGAUCGACUGAUCAACGUCAGAACUCCUCCAUAAAAACGUACUGACAUCACCAAUCAAGAUACGCAGCUACGUAGUCGUGAACAUUAAUAAACAUUCGUCGUUAUAAAUGCGACAAUAACUGGAUAAUGUGAGAAUACUUAUCACAAUGCUGGCGGGAAGCGCCUGCGAUUAGAGAGUGAUUUUCGU